This 834-nucleotide ribosomal RNA is filed under the name Triticum aestivum (bread wheat). Its description in RNAcentral is "partial small subunit ribosomal RNA". Lineage: Eukaryota; Viridiplantae; Streptophyta; Magnoliopsida; Poales; Poaceae. The record is from RNAcentral.
AUGAAGAGCCUCUCAUUGUACUUCUUGCUCCUCGUUUCUGUGGCGGCACUGCCACUGCACGCCAGUGCCUCGCAGGAGGCGCGGCUGAGAGAGUUCACCUCGUCCAGAAGAGGCAGUGUUAGCAGCACCGACACGUUUAGGGUGCGUAACAUAGCGGACAGGGUUGCCGGCAGCCUGAGCGCAGGGAGCUCUGUCUCCGACCAGAGCUCCAUGAAGGCCGCCGACAAGAUCACGGCGCUGCCCGGGCAGCCGGAGGGCGUUGACUUCAACCAGUACGGCGGGUACGUGACCGUCGACGAGGAGAACGGCCGCGCGCUCUUCUACUACCUCGUCGAAUCGCCCUCCGGUGCUUCCGAGAAGCCGCUCGUCCUGUGGCUCAACGGAGGGCCAGGAUGCUCUUCCCUCGGCUUUGGAGCGAUGCAGGAGCUCGGCCCCUUCCGCGUAGCCGAAGACAACAAAACGCUCAGCAGAAACAUCAACGCCUGGAACAACGUGGCUAACGUGAUCUUCCUCGAGUCGCCCGCUGGCGUCGGGUUCUCCUACUCGAACACGUCUUCGGACUAUGACCUAAGCGGAGACGAGAGAACCGCCGACGACGCGUACGUCUUCCUGGUGAAAUGGCUGGAGAGGUUCCCGGAGUACAAGGACCGCGCCUUUUACAUCUCUGGCGAGAGCUUCGCCGGCCACUAUGUGCCAGAGCUCGCCGCCACCAUCCUGCUCCACAACACAUACAACAACAGAACCAUAGUAAACCUACAAGGCAAUGGUCGGGAACCCGUAUCUGGACGAGAAGAGGAACAUCCAGGGGGCCAUCGACUUCGUCUGGACCCAUGA